CUCAAAUUUCAGAAAAUAAUAUCUUCAAGUAAAACUUCCCCAUCCUCAGUAGAACAAGCAAGCCUUUGUAUGUUCCAGUACUGACACAGAAUGCAGAUUGUGAAGAGCAUCUUAAACAUGGAAAGAAAUAAAUGAUUGUAUGAUUUUAAUAUUUUAAUAUGAUUUAAUACAGGAUACAGCAAAACAUACAAGGCAGCAUUUCUUCAGUAAAGUCUGAAUGGCCAGGGAAGAAACUUACUAUGAAAAUUACACCAGAGCCUUUGUCAAAUAGUGGAGAUAAAUUAUCUAAGUUAACAGAAGGGAGCAGACUGUGUUUGAUGGUUACAGAACAGGAGUUGAAGUUAAAGAACAGCACCAAGACAGAAGGAAAGAAUUCAGAGUACUGGGGGUCAAAACAUAUAUUUAAAGAAACAGACCGUAGGUAGGAGUUUUAUUCCCAUUUCUGCCCUUUACUUGCAACAUGACCUUGAGUUAGUCUCUUGACUUCUCUGAUUUCUCUGGUUUGGCAAAAUGCCCAUUGCCAUUGCCCAUUUCCCUUGCACAAAAUGCUCAUUAAACAAAAGAAGGUUCCACUGAUAUAUUUUUUUUCCCAUUGGAAACAAAGGAACACUGAACCACCAAGCAUUUUAAGUAAAGAAAUACUGAAAAUUUUUAAAAAAUAAUAAUAAAUAAAUAAAAUUCCAUAUUGAAUUCUUUAUUUACAUUUCCCAUCAAGUAUGAAAUAUCUUCAAGGUCUGCAAGCACCUUCUGCAAAAACAUUUGUCAAAACACCAUUUUGCCAUCAAAACCAAAUUUUACUAAAAAAAAUGUAGAAAAAACUUGGCCAACCAGCAACAUCAUAACAUGCCUGUCCACCAACAUAACAUGAUACAAGAGUUGUGGGUGCACAACCGGGUGCUGUGGAGGGUGAUUGCAAAGUGGCAAGUGGGACCAUGCCCUCCCCAGAAAAGGCUGAAGUCCCACAGGAGCCAGACAAGGCCAGCAGGCCCCGGGCUGGCAGUCAGGGCCACCACCAAUCUGUGGAACCAGCAGGACCAGGGUGAGGCUGGUGAGGCAAGUGAGCUGGCCUGGAUUCACCAGGUGCUCAGCUAUUGCUUCUGCUGGAUCCAGCCUAGAUAA
This 1119-nucleotide long non-coding RNA is filed under the name Anas platyrhynchos platyrhynchos (common mallard). RNAcentral's name for it is "lncRNA (ENSAPLG00000020583.1)". The record is from RNAcentral. Lineage: Eukaryota; Metazoa; Chordata; Aves; Anseriformes; Anatidae.